CAAGGCGUAGCUGAGAAGUUUAGCAUCUCCCUUACACCGAGAAGACAUCCGUGCAAUUCGGAUCGCCCUGA
RNAcentral lists this transfer RNA (71 nucleotides) under Schindleria praematura (Schindler's fish). Its description in RNAcentral is "tRNA-Val". It matches the Rfam family "tRNA". From Rfam's summary of the family: Transfer RNA (tRNA) molecules are approximately 80 nucleotides in length. Their secondary structure includes four short double-helical elements and three loops (D, anti-codon, and T loops). The record is from RNAcentral. Lineage: Eukaryota; Metazoa; Chordata; Actinopteri; Gobiiformes; Schindleriidae.